This is a small nuclear RNA of Talpa occidentalis (Iberian mole), 102 nucleotides long. The record is from RefSeq and is a predicted model, not a curated record. NCBI's taxonomy places the organism in Eukaryota, Metazoa, Chordata, Mammalia, Eulipotyphla, Talpidae.
CUGCUUCAGCAGCAUCUAUACUAAAAUUGGAACCACACAGAGAAGAUUAGCAUGGCUUCUGCAUAAGAUGUUGUGCAAAUUCAUGAAGCAUUCCAUAUUUUU